CUCUCAACAGCUUUGCAGCAGCGUGGGGCUGGAUGUGGCCUCUGGGGCACGAUCCAUUGCCAGCCCAUGCCUGGAAAUGAAGAGCUCCAUCCAGAAGUAAAAGCUGCUAUAAAAAGAAGAAACUGUCCCCAGGACAGAUCCAUUUCACCAAUGAAUUCCCAAGUAUAAUUUCCAGCCUGCAACUGGACCGUGUGUGCAGCUUUACAGCAGUGAUAAACCAAGGGACAGGGGGGAUGGCUUCCUGUUUGAGAAGAUUCUGCUCAGCUGUGCCUGCCUACAGCGUGUCUCAAGAAAACAGUAAAAAUGUUUGUCAUUUCAAGCAGUAAUCCAUUAUCUGUGAGGUGUGUGCAUAAAU
This 355-nucleotide long non-coding RNA is filed under the name Cyanistes caeruleus (blue tit). RNAcentral's name for it is "lncRNA (ENSCCEG00000012804.1)". Lineage: Eukaryota; Metazoa; Chordata; Aves; Passeriformes; Paridae. The record is from RNAcentral.